ACUUGGGGGAAUGUAUAGCUUCGGCUAAUUAUACUUGGCUGUAUAAUCGCUCAUAAAUAAUUCUUAGAUUUAUUUAUGAGCGAUUAUACAAUUUAUCCGUAAAAGGUUUAUGCUAUUAAACAUAGCGUAGUAAAAUUAAUUUGCUACUUUUAUAUUAAGAGAAAUUAUUCUCGUAGACAGGUAUAAGAUCGAUUUUAUCGAGUAAAGUUCUAGAGAAGAAAAAUUUGAUGAUGACAAACUUCUUUUCUAUAUGUCUUGACCAAAUUACGUGCCAGCAGUCGCGGUAAUACGUAAAAGACUAGUGUUAUUCAUCUUUAAUAGGUUUAAAGGGUACCUAGACGGUAUAAUUAGUCUUAAAUAAGAAACGGUUAUGCUAGAGUUAUAUAUGAGAAGGGGAGUAUUUAUGGAGUAGAGUUGAAAUUCUUUGAUACCAUAACGACUGGUAGCGGCGAAAGCAACCUUUUAUCUAAUAACUGACGUUGAGGGACGAAGGCUCGGGUCACGAACAGGAUUAGAUACCCUAGUAGUCCAAGCAGAGAAUGAUGAAUGCCAUAGAUUAGAUAUUAAUUUAGUCUAUAAAUGAAAGUGUAAGCAUUUCACCUCAAGAGUAAUGUGGCAACGCAGGAACUGAAAUCAUUAGACCGUUUCUGAAACCAGUAGUGAAGUAUGUUAUUUAAUUCGUAAGUACGCGAAAAACCUUACCACAACUUGAAUAUUAUCUUUAAGAUAUUACAAGCGUUGCACGGCUGUCUUCAGUUAAUGUCGUGAGAUAUUGGUUAAUUCCAUUAAAUUAACGGAAACCCUUGCUUUAUUUGGGUAUAAAGCAGUUCACCUAUACAUGGGAUAUGAUAAUAGGGCCA
RNAcentral lists this ribosomal RNA (860 nucleotides) under Hyaloscypha vitreola. RNAcentral describes it as "SSU rRNA". The stretch from base 137 to 860 matches the Rfam family "Bacterial small subunit ribosomal RNA", at positions 1 to 1181 of the family's 1533-position model. Lineage: Eukaryota; Fungi; Ascomycota; Leotiomycetes; Helotiales; Hyaloscyphaceae. The record is from RNAcentral.